This 275-nucleotide ribosomal RNA is filed under the name uncultured bacterium. RNAcentral's name for it is "partial 16S ribosomal RNA". It matches the Rfam family "Bacterial small subunit ribosomal RNA", at positions 334 to 606 of the family's 1533-position model. The record is from RNAcentral.
UAUACCUACGGGGGGCAGCAGUGAGGAAUAUUGGUCAAUGGGCGGGAGCCUGAACCAGCCAAGCCGCGUGAGGGAAGAAGGUACAGCGUAUCGUAAACCUCUUUUGUCAGGGAACAAAGGCGGGGACUAGUCCCCGGAUGAGGGUACCUGAAGAAAAAGCAUCGGCUAACUCCGUGCCAGCAGCCGCGGUAAUACGGAGGAUGCGAGCGUUAUCCGGAUUUAUUGGGUUUAAAGGGUGCGCAGGCGGUCUGGUAAGUCAGCGGUCAAAGCCCGGG